This is a small nuclear RNA of Erigeron canadensis, 103 nucleotides long. The record is from RefSeq and is a predicted model, not a curated record. NCBI's taxonomy places the organism in Eukaryota, Viridiplantae, Streptophyta, Magnoliopsida, Asterales, Asteraceae.
GUUCCUUUGGGGACAUCCGAUAAAAUUAGAACAAUACAAAAAAGAUUAACAUGACUUAUGCGCAAGAAUAACACGUACAAAUCGAGAAAUAGUGAAGAAAAAU